UACUCAACAAAGAAAAAGAAAGAUAAAAGAAGCAACUUUUGCUUAAAACGCUUCAUUUUCAUAUUCGGUAUUUUAAUUUCCGUUCGGGAAUAAAGCUUAGAGUUUUAAUUUUGAAUUUGAAUUUCUGGUCCUAUUGUUAGAAAAAAAAUAUAGAAAUAUUAAGCAUGGCUGAAGUUUUGGGGAAGUCAAAUCUAUUUACAACUUACUAUAGUCAGAAGAAGAAUCAAGAAGGUGGCGUUCCUUUGUUUUCCAGGAGAAUCUCUGCGUUUUGUUUGAGAAAGAAUAGAACCUCAAGCUUUGAGGAGUGGUUUUUUUUUAGAGAAAAGAGGUCUAAAUGAGAGAAGGUUCUGUCGAGUUCCCAUUAAAGCACAGCAGCAUAAAUCAGCUAAUGCAACAAAAAAAGUGAGUAGAUCAAUUUCGGCUUGUUAAAGGUGAUCUGUUGGUAUUUUUCUUUGUUCAUGGAUGAAGAAUAAUGUGUUUUGAGGUUGUUAUGGGAGUUGGAACUUUGAUUGACUCAACCCUUUGGAAAUAAAAAAAAGGUAACAUCUUUAGCCAAUCGCCACUUUUCAGUUUAAGCAUAGUUUUUAUAUUGAAAUUACUAUUCCAAUUUGUUUGCUCUCUACUCCUAGUAAAUCAGGACCAGCCUUCACAUGAAUUUUCACUAUUUUUGUUUAGUAUAUCAAGUUUGAUGAAUACUGUAAUGGAACAAUGUUGUCAAAUAUUUUUCUUCAGUCCUUCAAUGGAUGGUUUCAUUGCUGAAUUUGGAUGGAAAAUUCUUAUGUUGUCUACCCUGUCAGUUUGCCCUCAUUAACAGCUCAUCUUCAAGCUUCAGUACCCCUAUUAAUAAGUUUUAAGUUUAAAUGUCUCCAUUUUCAGACCUUUAAAACAAAAAAAAAUCUAUUUUGUGUCGUAUAUACAUUUCUUCACUUCUCCUAUGAAUUAAACCUAGAGAUCAAGGAAGCAAAUCAACGGAUAAUUUGGUGUACUAAUUUUCCAAGACAUCACCAGCAGUAAAAGAAAUGUGAAAAAAAAUGGAGUUACCCAAACGAAAAAAAAGAUAAACUCACCGGUGGUGGAGAGAAGAGGAACAAAGAACCAGAGGCUUUUGAGAAGUGGAGAAGAGGAACAAAGAACCAACACCAACAGAGGAACAAAGAACCAGCGCCAGCAGUGGAACAAAGAAUCAGCGCCAGAGGAACACCAGCACCAGCAGAGAACCAACAGAGAACAAAAUUUGGAGAAAAAAAAGUAACCGUCGGGAACACCAACACCAACAGAGAAUAACCAACCUUAUUUCUUUCUCAAAUGUGUGUGACUAAAAAUGUAAAAGAACAGCCCAAAAGCACUUUUUAGCUGGAAAAGCUAAAUUUUUCUACUUUUCAUCUGCUCAAAAGUACUUGCAAUAAGUUAAAAUUUUGGUACUAAAUGAAGUGUGUUUUUUAUUA
Long non-coding RNA from Gossypium raimondii (Peruvian cotton), 1445 nucleotides. RefSeq lists it as uncharacterized. The record is from RefSeq and is a predicted model, not a curated record. Lineage: Eukaryota; Viridiplantae; Streptophyta; Magnoliopsida; Malvales; Malvaceae. The transcript is spliced from 2 exons.